UAUAGUAGCGCUCGCAGCGCGACGCGCUGAGUGAAUCCUCUCACAGCGAAAGGGGCGAGCAAUCCGGCAUUUCUUGAGCUUCCGCAGCUUCAUCUCGGAGCGCAAUCUCUUCCACGGCUGGAUUAGUGGCGCAGAGCAUCGGGCGCGAAGGAUUCAAGCUGAGCGGCAUCCAUCCAGUGUCGUUCUUGAUCGCGCCGGAAAACACACAAGUAAAGAUCGAUCGAAAACCCGGAACAAAACGAAGAAGUUUCGACAUCGGCCUCCUCGGACAGUUUCUGGUAACUCCAGUCUUGCGUUUCUCAGUCGUAGAGCAUCCACAAGAGCGGCAUCGUUCGAGUGGAUUCUCCCGCAAGAAAACCGUCAUUCCAUUUUGCAGGCUAGCUCCGUUGCUGGGUGAUGUUCUGCCUUUUGGAAGCUCCAGAAGAUUUUGCUCUCUUGUGGAUCCGGCUGGUGUGUUUUCCAAGGCUGUGAAGACUCGUGAAAAAUGCUCAACGCACUAGCACGUAUUAUCGAAUGCAUCAUCUGUUCUGUCCAAUAGAUUGCAUUGUCUCAGGCAUGCAUCACGGGUUCGAGAAAGAAGUUUACGAGCAGCAGACUGCUCGGGCAUGGGUAUCGCCAUCCCAAUCGCUUAAGAUCUGGAGCUGAAGAGUUGCUAUGCUGAAGUCCAGGCUGCUCGACUUAUCGACGUGGAUGGCUUUCAGGGACGUGAGAAAGCCGGAGCUAUAUUCUUGUGUUCGAGCGAACAAGAAAGACCACUUCGCCAAAACGCUGCUUUUGUGGCAGCCCGCUCUCUCUAUGGACCAGAUAUGGAAGAAGCAUGUUUAAACGUUUCCAAAAAGCUGGGUACAGCACACAAUAUCGAAUGCAUCCUCAGAUUCGAGAAGAGAGUUUUACGGAGGAUGGUGAAGACCGAGCGAGUGUGGCAUGAGUACUCUUGUUCGUUUUCUUUGACAUCGAAGGCCGCGAAGCAGGGAGCGGCUCGUACAUAAACAGUGACGGAACUGACACACUGUGGAUGGUUUCCAGGUA
Long non-coding RNA from Selaginella moellendorffii, 1029 nucleotides. RefSeq lists it as uncharacterized. The record is from RefSeq and is a predicted model, not a curated record. The transcript is spliced from 5 exons. Lineage: Eukaryota; Viridiplantae; Streptophyta; Lycopodiopsida; Selaginellales; Selaginellaceae.